This 59-nucleotide ribosomal RNA is filed under the name Kalopanax septemlobus. Its description in RNAcentral is "partial 26S ribosomal RNA". The record is from RNAcentral. Lineage: Eukaryota; Viridiplantae; Streptophyta; Magnoliopsida; Apiales; Araliaceae.
CCAGGUCAGGCGGGACUACCCGCUGAGUUUAAGCAUACUAGGGGGGGGGGGGGGGUAGU